AAAUUGAAGAGUUUGAUCAUGGCUCAGAUUGAACGCUGGCGGCAGGCCUAACACAUGCAAGUCGAACGGUAACAGGAAGCAGCUUGCUGCUUUGCUGACGAGUGGCGGACGGGUGAGUAAUGUCUGGGAAACUGCCCGAUGGAGGGGGAUAACUACUGGAAACGGUAGCUAAUACCGCAUAACGUCGCAAGACCAAAGAGGGGGACCUUAGGGCCUCUUGCCAUCGGAUGUGCCCAGAUGGGAUUAGCUAGUAGGUGGGGUAAUGGCUCACCUAGGCGACGAUCCCUAGCUGGUCUGAGAGGAUGACCAGCCACACUGGAACUGAGACACGGUCCAGACUCCUACGGGAGGCAGCAGUGGGGA
RNAcentral lists this ribosomal RNA (363 nucleotides) under Escherichia coli. Its description in RNAcentral is "bacterial SSU rRNA". It matches the Rfam family "Bacterial small subunit ribosomal RNA", at positions 1 to 360 of the family's 1533-position model. Lineage: Bacteria; Pseudomonadati; Pseudomonadota; Gammaproteobacteria; Enterobacterales; Enterobacteriaceae. The record is from RNAcentral.